GAUGAAGAACGCAGCGAAAUGCGAUAAGUAGUGUGAAUUGCAGAAUUCAGUGAAUCAUCGAAUCUUUGAACGUACAUUGCGCCCCUUGGUAUUCCAUGGGGCAUGCCUGUUCGAGCGUCAUUUGUACCUUCAAGCUCUGCUUGGUGUUGGGUGUUUGUCUCGCCUCUGCGUGUAGACUCGCCUUAAAACAAUUGGCAGCCGGCGUAUUGAUUUCGGAGCGCAGUACAUCUCGCGCUUUGCACUCAUAACGACGACGUCCAAAAGUACAUUUUUACACUCUUGACCUCGGAUCAGGUAGGGAUACCCGCUGAACUUAAGCAUAUCAAUAAGCGGAGGA
Molecule: unclassified non-coding RNA, 337 nt
Filed under: soil metagenome
Description: partial contains 5.8S ribosomal RNA, internal transcribed spacer 2, and large subunit ribosomal RNA
Rfam family: 5.8S ribosomal RNA (bases 1-120)
Source: RNAcentral